This 505-nucleotide ribosomal RNA is filed under the name uncultured bacterium. Its description in RNAcentral is "partial 16S ribosomal RNA". It matches the Rfam family "Bacterial small subunit ribosomal RNA", at positions 28 to 507 of the family's 1533-position model. The record is from RNAcentral.
GACGAACGCUGGCGGCGUGCCUAAUACAUGCAAGUAGAACGCACAGUUUAUACCGUAGCUUGCUACACCAUAGACUGUGAGUUGCGAACGGGUGAGUAACGCGUAGGUAACCUGCCUGGUAGCGGGGGAUAACUAUUGGAAACGAUAGCUAAUACCGCAUAAUAUUGAUUAUUGCAUGAUAAUUGAUUGAAAGAUGCUAUUGCAUCACUACCAGAUGGACCUGCGUUGUAUUAGCUAGUAGGUGAGGUGACGGCUCACCUAGGCGACGAUACAUAGCCGACCUGAGAGGGUGAUCGGCCACACUGGGACUGAGACACGGCCCAGACUCCUACGGGAGGCAGCAGUAGGGAAUCUUCGGCAAUGGACGAAAGUCUGACCGAGCAACGCCGCGUGAGUGAAGAAGGUUUUCGGAUCGUAAAGCUCUGUUGUAAGAGAAGAACGGGUGUGAGAGUGGAAAGUUCACACUGUGACGGUAUCUUACCAGAAAGGGACGGCUAACUACGUG